GCGUAGGUGGUGGAGUGGUCUAUCACAACAGACUGUAAAUCUGUCGACUUCGGUCUUCGAAGGUUCGAAUCCUUCCCUACGCACAA
Molecule: transfer RNA, 86 nt
Filed under: Candidatus Nomurabacteria bacterium CG1_02_43_90
Lineage: Bacteria; Candidatus Nomuraibacteriota
Description: tRNA-Tyr
Rfam family: tRNA
About the family: Transfer RNA (tRNA) molecules are approximately 80 nucleotides in length.
Source: RNAcentral